RNAcentral lists this ribosomal RNA (439 nucleotides) under uncultured bacterium. RNAcentral describes it as "bacterial SSU rRNA". It matches the Rfam family "Bacterial small subunit ribosomal RNA", at positions 340 to 773 of the family's 1533-position model. The record is from RNAcentral.
UACGGAAGGCAGCAGUGGGGAAUAUUGCACAAUGGGCGCAAGCCUGAUGCAGCCAUGCCGCGUGUAUGAAGAAGGCCUUCGGGUUGUAAAGUACUUUCAGUCGUGAGGAAGGUGUUAAGGUUAAUAACCUUAGCAAUUGACGUUAGCGACAGAAGAAGCACCGGCUAACUCCGUGCCAGCAGCCGCGGUAAUACGGAGGGUGCGAGCGUUAAUCGGAAUUACUGGGCGUAAAGGGCACGCAGGCGGUUAAUUAAGUUGGAUGUGAAAUCCCCGGGCUUAACCUGGGAAUGGCAUUCAAGACUGGUUAGCUAGAGUCUUGUAGAGGGGGUUAGAAUUCCAUGUGUAGCGGUGAAAUGCGUAGAGAUGUGGAGGAAUACCGGUGGCGAAGGCGGCCCCUGGACAAGACUGACGCUCAUGUGCGAAAGCGUGGGGAGCAAAC